UAGAACGUCCAUGAGCUUGGUUCCAUCAAUAUUAGGAACAUCUUUCAUUCCAAUAAUUUUCUGGCUCAUUGUGCAGAACGUUUCCUGAGAGUGCAUACGAAGUAUGUGUCAUCUAGAACCUCUUUUUGUCUCUAGGUACAACAGUCAUUUGAAAAACCAAAUGUUAAAGCCCAGAUGCCCACCAUUGAACGACUGUCUAUGACAAGAUAUUUCUACCUCUUUCCUGGCAAUUGAAAAUAAAAAUCACAGGCAGUCUGGCCCUUUAUCAACUUCAAGAAGCACCAUUUAUUACCAGUACAUUACACAUGUUUAACUUCUGGCUUUCAGUAAAAAUGAAAACAAGUGAACUGUGUUUUGGGGGUCUUCUAAGACAGAAUAGAAUUUCAACUCAAAUGGCAGAUGAGUGGAAAUGAAGUGGAAGAAGUAAACUGGAUUUUCUAGCUUUAUGACUCAUAUCAUAUUUGCACUUUAUUGAGUGAAGGAAACUGACCAUGAUUUGGUGUCAGCAACAGAGUGAAAAAAGUUGGUGCCCAUCUGGAUAUGAGAACUAUAAACUGGUCAGCUUCUUUUUUGCACAUCCAUCAAAUCCUGACUCUAGAAUGGUC
Molecule: non-coding RNA, 605 nt
Organism: Vicugna pacos (alpaca)
Lineage: Eukaryota; Metazoa; Chordata; Mammalia; Artiodactyla; Camelidae
Source: RefSeq, a predicted model, not a curated record